GCUGGGUGUGGUGGUGCAUGCCUGUAGUCCCAGCUACUCAGGAGGCUGAUGCAGGAGAAUUACUUGAGCCCAGGAGUUCAAGGCUGCAGUGAGCCAUGAUCACACCACUGCACUCCAGCCUGGGUAACAGAGCAUGACCCUGUCUCGA
RNAcentral lists this small RNA (148 nucleotides) under Macaca fascicularis (crab-eating macaque). RNAcentral describes it as "Metazoan signal recognition particle RNA (ENSMFAG00000052543.1)". Lineage: Eukaryota; Metazoa; Chordata; Mammalia; Primates; Cercopithecidae. The record is from Rfam by way of RNAcentral.